UAUAUAUAUGGUCGAAAGAGCAGGCUAAUUUAUUAAAAGCAAAAAACCGAUUACACUUUGCGCAAAAAGACUCUACCUGCAGAGUCUUCAAAAAGUGUCCUAACGAAGUCUAUAGGAAGGUCACUGGUAGGAUAAAAAACCAGUUUACUUCUUGAAUUAAGCGCAUAACUUGUUAAAUAAUCAGCGGUCCUAUUGGCUUCAUAAUAUAUUUUAACAAAAAUACACUGCAUAGGGAUUCAUUAAUAUUUAUGUCUCCCACAU
Molecule: long non-coding RNA, 261 nt
Filed under: Ananas comosus (pineapple)
Lineage: Eukaryota; Viridiplantae; Streptophyta; Magnoliopsida; Poales; Bromeliaceae
Description: long non-coding RNA (ACOM_LNC014192)
Source: RNAcentral